Molecule: ribosomal RNA, 789 nt
Filed under: uncultured bacterium
Lineage: Bacteria
Description: bacterial SSU rRNA
Rfam family: Bacterial small subunit ribosomal RNA
Source: RNAcentral
AGAGUUUGAUCCUGGCUCAGGAUGAACGCUAGCGGAAGGCCUAAUACAUGCAAGUCGAACGGGCAUAUUGAUUUCGGUUGAUAUGUUAGUGGCGCACGGGUGAGUAACGCGUACACAACCUGCCUUAUAUUGGGGGAUAGCCCUGGGAAACUGGGAGUAAUACCGCAUAAUAUUAUUGAGAGGCAUCUUUUGAUAAUUAAAGUUUCGGCGGUAUAUGAUUGGUGUGCGUUUGAUUAGCUAGUUGGUAGGGUAACGGCCUACCAAGGCGACGAUCAAUAGCUGGCGUGAGAGCGCGACCAGCCACACUGGAACUGAGACACGGUCCAGACUCCUACGGGAGGCAGCAGUAGGGAAUAUUGGACAAUGGGCGCAAGCCUGAUCCAGCCAUGCCGCGUGAUAGAUGAAGGCCCUCUGGGUUGUAAAUAUCUUUUAUCUGGGAAGAAACUCCUCUAUUCUUAGAGGCCUGACGGUACCAGAGGAAUAAGCACCGGCUAACUCCGUGCCAGCAGCCGCGGUAAUACGGAGGGUGCAAGCGUUAUCCGGAUUCACUGGGUUUAAAGGGUGCGUAGGCGGGCUGAUAAGUCAGUGGUGAAAGCUCCGAGCUUAACUUGGAAACUGCCAUUGAUACUGCCAGUCUUGAAUGUCGUAGAGGUAAGCGGAAUGUUGCAUGUAGCGGUGAAAUGCUUAGAUAUGUUACAGAACACCAAUUGCGAAGGCAGCUUACUAUGCGAUGAUUGACGCUGAGGCACGAAAGCGUGGGGAGCAAACAGGAUUAGAUACCCUGGUAGU